Mauremys reevesii (Reeves's turtle) is the source of this 3013-nucleotide long non-coding RNA. RefSeq lists it as uncharacterized. NCBI's taxonomy places the organism in Eukaryota, Metazoa, Chordata, Testudines, Geoemydidae. The transcript has 3 exons. The record is from RefSeq and is a predicted model, not a curated record.
CAGCUUUGGGAAGAGGACUGGUAAUGAUAGAGACUGGUUCAGGUGGAAUUCUGAACUUAGGGUGGUUUCAUCACUACUGUGUCCCUGUGGAAGGGAGUACAUGGCAGUUCAGCCAUGAGAGCUUGUGCUUCACUGACUCUGUGCUGAUAUGAUGGCUAUGAGAAAGGCAGUCUUGAUGGAGCAAGUCUUCCCACAGGAGGGUUUCUGACACUAGAAGGAUCUCCUGGACCUGCAGGGAGCAGUCUCCAUCAGUCCUCUUGAACCUUCCAACAUCCAGGCCAUCAGAGGCAGAAACCACAGGUCCAGGUUCAAUACCAGCCCCUGGUUCUGUAAUUGCACGUUGAGGCCUUUGGCGUGGCCUGCCUGCUGUGCUGGAAGAUGCAGCCUUGAUCACUAAAGGGGUCUGAGCUUGGCUCUUCUGCAUCCAAUGCCACUCUCAUAGCUUGCUCCAGAAGACAGAGAUUCAGCCUCAUAUCCCUUGACGUGUGGGUUCCUGCAGGGAGGACAGGCAGACCAAGUCCUUGCUUGGGAUGCGAGGCUCUCCCCAGCAGAACAGGUUCCGAGGAAUCUCGCCAUCGCAGGAGGGGUGGGGCUAGAAGGCAGCAUGUUUUGAGUCUGUACAGGGGGCCUGUCUCUAUGGGCAGGGUGUACAGGGGAUCUGUAGUUUGACAAGCACUAAGAACAGAGUAGGCCAAUAGCAAUAAAGAAUGAAGGUGGUUCUGAAGAAUCUCAGAAGAUCGGAAGGAGUUUUUUGAUAAGUUUAGCUGGAGUGAAAGACUAGUGGGUUGGACACCAUCUAGGCUCAGUCUCGCAGCCAUGGGUGGGAAGAAGGAAUUGAGGGAGGGUUGCGGUUGCCUGUCCUUUCUGACCUGGCAGGGGAGCACGAGGAGACACAGGGCACAUGUUUGUCCCUGCCAGGUACUGCAAUCCAAAAGAAUCCAAUCUCAUGCAUGUGAGAUGCAUGCACACCUACAGUGGAUCCUCACCGACGUACACAAUGGAGAACACUACAGGAGUGCAAUGUGACAGAGUUAAUGCUGGCAACGGCCCCAGAAGGUGAAGAGGCCAAGGGAUCACAGCUACGUAGAGGCAAGAGGGGAAGAGCAGGGAUGGAGUGCACGUCACAGGAGGAUCGGGGAGGAGCUCCGCACCACUGGGGAGCAGCCAGGGAAGAAGAGCCAAGCCCCAGAAGCAAAGUCUGUGGAAAAGAAGAGCAGUGGCAGCCCAGGUCCCAGUUCGCAUCAGCCCCACAACCUGGGCUGCAGUCCCAGACACUCACCUGUUUAGCUGCUAUCUCUUCAUCGCGCCCAUCUCCGAUCACCACAUAUGUUACUUUCUUUCCAAAUCGUGACACAAUCCUCUCAAAACAGCUCUCUUUACCUGCCAAAACACACCCCAAUGGUGAAUGCUCAUGGGAGCAGCACUACCCACCCCAGCACAGGCCCACCCUUCUUGGCCAAGGGAAAACUCUCGUUUGGUUCCUUUCACAAGGCUACCAUCUCCUCGGCAAGGACAGAACACCUGCUUUGCACUCUACUGGUACAAGCUGUUCCUAUUCACAUGAGCAGCUGGAGAGAGCCAGGCAUCAGGGAUUUCUCAUUUGCACAGUGUCCUGAUUUCCUAUCCCAGGAUAGAGAGAGAGUCAUUUUCAAAGCACACAAUACAAAUGCUGGCUCCAUCUCUGAUGAGGGAGCCCCAGUCCAUGUCUUUUUCAAAUCCAGUACUGGGCUGUCUAGAAGGAUGAGCUCACAGUCACUGCAGACUAGGAGAGUUGGGCACCAAGGAGAGAUUUGUCUGUGUCUGCCACUCCCUCCCCAGGGACUGGCUGGAAACACUGAGCAACUAUAGAUCUAGCUCCAGUGACAAGAUGGGCCCAUCUGCCAUAUCCAGGCCAUUUGAGGGGUGCAAGCCAAGGGGUUCCCCAACAGGACUGCUAGCCAGUUCAGACAUCACAAAGCAACUACACCAUUCCCAAGAGGGUGCAGUACACUCCCCCACCCAGCUGGCUCUACUGUCCGGUGCUGAGGAGGGUAAAGUCAUGGCCUUGCCCUCACACUCUGUCAGGUAUCUCGCUCCCAGAGGCAUGCCAGCAGGGCCUGUGCUCUCCAUGGGAUUCUGGCCAGCACCAGGGCCCUCCCUUCUCCUGCACAUCCCAACACAGGGCUUGACCAAAACUGGAGCUUGAGAGGGACAGUGGGACUCUGCCAAUUGAGCAAAGCUUCUUUCAAGUCCCUUUAGCAAUGGCUGUCUGCUGCAGCACUAUACGCCAGGUGGCUGCAGACUCUCUUUAUUUCCUAAAGAGAUUUUACUGAAGAGUCUUAAAUCUCAAAUAUCUACUGAUAAGAAUGUGUUAAAACAAGCUGAAUACUUCAGGAGCUGUACUGAAGCCAUAUUCUGUGCUGUCUGUGGAGUGCCCAACGACAAGGAUGAGGGCAGAAGUCCUCAAUUGGCAGUCUUGGGCAGUGCUGUUCAAAAACUUAGCUGCGUUACUGGGGACUUGUCUACAUUAGGGUUUUUUGCAUCAGGGCAGCUACCCGAGUGCCAAACUGGCAUGGAUGUUCUGCACCAGUGUAAAGUGGGGUUUAUCCCAGGAUAAGCUGUGAAGGUACAAGCCCUGUGCAGUCCAUCCACACUGGCGAUGUAGCAACAGUCCUAAAAUCCCUGACAUAGUUGAGCCCUGGCUCUCCCUCUAGAGGCCCCAGCCAGCACUCCCUAACAGGCACCCCUGGCAACAGCGGAGUGCUGUUUGGAGCAAUAACCAUACCUAUUUUUGUAGCACUAUAAAUAUUUUCAAUGGGGAACACUUCUCCCAAGCCGUACAAGAGAACUUUGGCGAGAGCUGGCACCAGCUGUGUUGUCGUGAUCAGGACAUUCACACAAUUUUUUCUAAAGGGUAAAAGAAGAAACAAUGAAAAACAGCCAUGGCAGAGGAUGCAGGGGCUGGCUCUGGACAGCUGGCUUAGGCAACCAUAGCAGGGGCCAUGUGCUCUGCUGGACACUGCUGUACCUUUCA